Molecule: ribosomal RNA, 497 nt
Filed under: uncultured bacterium
Lineage: Bacteria
Description: bacterial SSU rRNA
Rfam family: Bacterial small subunit ribosomal RNA
Source: RNAcentral
AGAGUUUGAUCAGUGGCUCAGGAUGAACGCUAGCGGCAGGCCUAAUACAUGCAAGUCGAGCGGAGCCUAGCAAUAGGUUUAGCGGCGCACGGGUGAGUAACGCGUACAUAAUCUGCCUUCAACUGGAGAAUAGCCCCGGGAAACUGGGAGUAAUACUCCAUAGCAUAACGAAGUCGCAUGGCUUUGUUAUUAAAGCUCCGGCGGUUGAAGAUGAAUGGUGCGUCUGAUUAGCUUGUUGGUGAGGUAACGGCUCACCAAGGCGAUGAUCAGUAAGGGGGCGUGAGAGCGUGGCCCCUCACAUGGACACUGAGACACGGGUCCAACUCCUACGGGAGGCAGCAGUAAGGAAUAUUGGUCAAUGGGCGCAAGCCUGAACCAGCCAUGCCGCGUGGAGGAUGAAGGCGCUCUGCGUUGUAAACUUCUUUGGUCGGAGACGAAACCCGUCCCUGCGGGGGCGGCUGACGGUAUCCGAAGAACAAGCACCAGCUAACUCCGUG